RNAcentral lists this unclassified non-coding RNA (220 nucleotides) under Phytophthora infestans (potato late blight agent). Its description in RNAcentral is "partial ITS1". Lineage: Eukaryota; Oomycota; Peronosporomycetes; Peronosporales; Peronosporaceae. The record is from RNAcentral.
GGAUCAUUACCACACCUAAAAACUUUCCACGUGAACCGUUUCAACCCAAUAGUUGGGGGUCUUACUUGGCGGCGGCUGCUGGCUUUAUUGCUGGCGGCUACUGCUGGGCGAGCCCUAUCAAAAGGCGAGCGUUUGGACUUCGGUCUGAGCUAGUAGCUUUUUUAUUUUAAACCCUUUACUUAAUACUGAUUAUACUGUGGGGGCGAAAGUCUCUGCUUUU